UUAAAAAGCUCGUAGUUGAAUUUCGGGAUCAAUAUUUCGGUCAUGCCGUUGGUAUGCACUGUUAUCAUUGAUUUCUCACCUUCUAAAGAACCGUAAUGCCAUUAAUUUGGUGUUACGGGAAAUUAGGACUGUUACCUUGAAAAAAUUAGAGUGUAGUAAAGCAGGCUCACGCUUGAAUACAUUAGCAUGGAAUAAUGAAAUAGGACAUCCGAUUCUAUUUUGUUGGUUUCUAGGAUCGAUGUAAUGAUUAAUAGGGAUAGUUGGGGG
This 267-nucleotide ribosomal RNA is filed under the name uncultured Glomus. RNAcentral's name for it is "partial 18S ribosomal RNA". It matches the Rfam family "Eukaryotic small subunit ribosomal RNA", at positions 619 to 888 of the family's 1831-position model. Lineage: Eukaryota; Fungi; Glomeromycota; Glomeromycetes; Glomerales; Glomeraceae. The record is from RNAcentral.